GAAUGAGCUGCAGACCUGUUCAAAGUGUGCACCACGGGAGUUCGCUUGUUCUUCCAAACCAUUGCCUUCUGUGUCUACUAGAGGAAGAGAUUGUGCUUCUCAUCCUACGACCCUACUGACGAUGUUCCAGACCCAUCCUUCAUGUGUAUAUAAGUUGAUUCCAGGAAACGAGCGCCAGAGGAGAAAAGGAAUCGUUCAAUCCCACAAUCUCGCGCAUCGCAGUGGGAGUCACCCCACAGACUGCUAUGUGCGUUGAGAUCUCCAAGGAGAAGAUAUGGUUCUGGAAGUUCAUCAGGCUGGCCACGCUCUGGAGUAUGUGUUGUGGCUGCAGUUGCAGUUUGCACCGUGAACAUCAUCGUGUUCGCAUUCAUCAGUACCAUGACCAGCUGUGCCGCAUUUACCAUAAGUCCCCUGACCUCGGCAAGUGCGCUGCCACUACGCGUUGAGCUACCGUCGUAGAAAAGGCUUGAGGUCAAGUGCUCAAAGGCUUGAGGUCAAGUGACAGCUACGCAUGUAUUGGCGACAGAGUUGUUUUGAGCGCAUGCAGCGACCUGAUCUGCCAACACAUUUCCUCUGAUAUCACAAAGCCCUGGUACCCAGCACACUACAACAUGUGAUUUGAGAGCGUACAUUAUGCAUUAAAGAGUGUAAAGGGACGCAAGGA
Rhipicephalus microplus (southern cattle tick) is the source of this 664-nucleotide long non-coding RNA. The record is from RefSeq and is a predicted model, not a curated record. NCBI's taxonomy places the organism in Eukaryota, Metazoa, Arthropoda, Arachnida, Ixodida, Ixodidae.